UUGGCAUUAUCAUUAUCUCAUAAAUUGUACAUCUUGAUGUUGUAACGCUAAUUAUGAAAAUCUGUCAACUAUAGGAACUAAUGUCAUUAGCUGAUGUAACAGUGGAGUUAGUUAAGAGGGGACACCUGAAAUUAUUAGCGACAGGCUGGUGUCGCCCAACGUUGUCAAUGCAGGUAAUUUUCCAGCCAUUUGAGGCCACUUUAUUAAUUGGGUGUGCAAAAUUUGAGUUGGGUAGGUUGUUAUAAUUUCAGCUACUAUAUGAGAUCAAGAUACUGUGUGAGCAGAAAGAGACAGGUGGAAAAAACAACAGGAAGUUAGUUGUUGUUUGGUCGCUUAUCAACAUCAUCAGCAGUCGCAGCAGCAGCAGCAGUGGCAGUGACAUGGAGCCAAUUAAGGAGGAAAUGGCGUGAGAAUCAGCAGUUGUCUUCUGAUCUGAUGGAGGGACGUUUUCCUUGGACCAGUUUGUCUGUUUAUCCUGGGUUGAGGAAGUAUUGGGGGCUGAGGCCUUGGCUCUGUGGCCUCCCAAGACCUCACCACCUUCACCUUCCCCUGUCGAGGUAGCCUGGAAGAAGCCAGAAGCAGCAUUACAUAUAUGGUGCAGCGUCAGCAACUUGCAGUGUCAUCACCAGGACUUGUAUGCCAGCUGCAUCACGAGAAGAGAGGAGGAUAUGGGGGACGCUUCGCUUUGGCCCCGCUAAGAGCUACACCGCACUCACAAGGAGUGAUGCACCUGCACUUCAUCACAAAAUGAAACACUUCCCUGUCCCAUCUCUGUUGUCUCUACAAUUCACCCCCGUCCACCAGUGUCAGAUGGUAGGAUCCCGCCUGGGCAUGGCCUGUCCCUGACCGUAAUCUCUUUAUGAUGCAGUAAUAUGUAGAGAGUGGGGGGGUGGGGGGUUCAGCCACAAAGAAUUAAUGUAUUAAUCCACCCCAUGCUGGGAAUAUGUAUCACGUGCCUAGUCCUUCUAUUGCUGCCACCAAAGAGUGAUGAUCUAAGAGUGUGUAUGUGUGGGAGAACACCUGAUUUUGUGCUGGUGUAAAAGUGUUAAUUUUUACAGUCAAAUAAUUUUUAAAUGUUACAUAAAUGAGGAGGAAAUCUGAAACUUUAGGCCAUAAUUUGAAAGCAAAUAAAUCUAAAUAUCACUCCGUGUCCGCCUCAAGGAAGUUAGUCUUUGUCUACACUGAUUUCUGAGGAGUCAACAUCCCCAUGUGGUGGCAAAAUAAACAGCAUGACGCACACACACACAUGCACAGACAGAGACAGAGAGAGUAUAUGAGCACCCUGCCUGGUAAUCUGCUGUAAUCUGGGGCUCUGGCAGUUCACUGACUUUGGAGUAGGGCUGGUGGUGCUUGGCAGUGUGCUCGAGUAGCUUUCAGCCUCCCGCCGUGGCUGGGAAAAACACAGACGCCGAAAAUAUCUGAACACACAUGCGAACCCACCACAUGUCUGCACACGCUUCAUCAGCAGUGGUCAGCAUCAGCACAAACAGAGGAGGUUGUGAAUAUUAAAUUUAUGGAUGUUUCUUGUGGUUUGCCUCAGUUAUUAGUUAGUUACAACAGGUUUCCUAAAGAGGACUGCUGGGAGGCCUUUAAUGGCUGGGGAUCCCUGGGGUUGUUUGUCAGUUGUGGUAUUGAGUGAUCUAUGAAGCAUCAGGGCAAGAUCACAGACCUUUCCACUGUAAAUGAACUGUAUCUUAACCUGAGCCUCUUGGAUAGGGCCCUAAUGGCUUGUCCUGCCUGAGGAGCUUAGGCCAAAUCACUUAAUCAGUAUCAUCUUUUAAAUCACUUAAAACACUCUUUUACAGACUUGCUUUUAUGUAGAGAUCAUUCUCAGUUGUCUUUAUAUUUCACUUUAAUUCCUAGUAGUGUUGAUGAUAAAUGAAUAUUUAUAUUUAUUAUAUUUCUGUAGCCUUCUGUGUGUCUUUAUAUUUGUCUCUAUAUGUUUGUCUCUAUACUCCUCCCUCACAAAAUGAAUAAAUCAUACUACCCC
Molecule: long non-coding RNA, 1990 nt
Organism: Lates calcarifer (barramundi perch)
Lineage: Eukaryota; Metazoa; Chordata; Actinopteri; Centropomidae
Exons: 4
Source: RefSeq, a predicted model, not a curated record